RNAcentral lists this ribosomal RNA (351 nucleotides) under uncultured Geobacillus sp. RNAcentral's name for it is "bacterial SSU rRNA". It matches the Rfam family "Bacterial small subunit ribosomal RNA", at positions 1028 to 1382 of the family's 1533-position model. Lineage: Bacteria; Bacillati; Bacillota; Bacilli; Caryophanales; Anoxybacillaceae. The record is from RNAcentral.
UCGGUGACAGGUGGUGCAUGGUUGUCGUCAGCUCGUGUCGUGAGAUGUUGGGUUUAAGUCCCGCAACGAGCGCAACCCCUAUUGUUAGUUGCCAUCAUUCAUUGGGCACUCUAGAGGGGACUGCCGGGCGACAAGUCGGAGGAAGUGGGAUGACGUCAAUCAUCAUGCCCCUUAUGACCUGGGCUACACACGUGCUACAAUGGGCGGUACAAAGGGCUGCGAACCCGCGAGGGGAGCGAAUCCCAAAAAGCCGCUCUCAGUUCGGAUUGCAGGCUGCAACUCGCCUGCAUGAAGCCGGAAUCGCUAGUAAUCGCGGAUCAGCAUGCCGCGGUGAAUACGUUCCCGGGCCUU